Molecule: long non-coding RNA, 8142 nt
Organism: Mustela lutreola (European mink)
Lineage: Eukaryota; Metazoa; Chordata; Mammalia; Carnivora; Mustelidae
Exons: 5
Source: RefSeq, a predicted model, not a curated record
CCGGGUGCCCUGAUGGUGCUGAGGCGCUCGCCGUCCCCGCGGCAGCCGCGACCAGGCCUCCUGGCCCCUCCCCCCGCCAGGUCAGCGACCCCGAGCCCGGGUGGGUCAGGUGCCCGCCUUCUGGGCCUGCCCUCUCUCCGUCUAGGGUGCUUGUGUUUUACCUGACGACUGGCCCAUCAGAUUUUGAGCUUCUUCGGAGGAGUGUAAAGGCAGCUUUUCUCCUGGAGAGCAAAGAAGAAACAGAUUUAAUGUUUUGCCCUCAAGGAGAUAAGCAAGCUCACUUCAACUAGGGAAGCUCAAGAUCUGACUGGCGCACGCGCAGACCAGCGCACCCGGGGUGCGGUCACCUGCACGGCGGCCGAGGCCACACCCUGCCCUCACCAGGGAGGAAGGGACGUCCGGCUGGCCAGACGCGGCUGAGUGAAGGCCCACCCCCACCCUUGUGCCAAGUGGGUGCCGACAGGGGCGGUGCCCUGGGCUGGGGGCUGGCUCAUCUCGGCUCUCCCUGGGGCGGGGCUGGGUGCCGGCCUGGGCAGGUGUCGCUCCAGGGCUGUGCACUGGCCUCCCACAGGAGGGCACCCCCGGCUGCCUGUCUGAGCUCUUGCUCCUGGACAGAGCAGGCUUCAGGGCUGGCCGAAGGGAUGUGUUCUGCACAAGGGCUCCCAGAACGCCUGGGGGCGGCGGAGAGCAGGCAAGGACCCUCGAGGGGACAGACGUCCCUUCACCAGGCCCUCGCGAGGUGACGAGCCUACCGCAGGACACACACAGACAGACCUCCCGCCCGGCCCCUGCGACGUGCCCCCUGCUGCGCGUCUACACUGCCGCCUUGGCGUCCGCAGCUACAACUGUACCUGCUCUGCUCGCCGCCCUGAGAAACGACCGCUCAGAGAGUCCCCAGAAUGCACGUGCCUUGUGCCAACGCCCCUUCUGCACAUCUGGCCCCACCCCAGCCCUGGCCUGGACCUCGCCCUGAGCCAGCCCUGCCUCCCCUGCAAGGCCUCCCCAAGCUGACCUUCCAGGAUCACAGAAUGCAGUGCCAGAAGGUUCUGUGGGGGGCAGGCUCCACACCCAGCCCAAGCCUGAUGCGGGGCUUGAACUCACGACCCUGAGAUCAUGACCUGAGCUGAGAUCACAAGUCAGACGCUCAACUGACUGAGCCACCCAGGGCGUCCCAUCUGGGCCUCAGUUCUUAGGUCAAAAACCCAAAAGAAGACCCGUUCCCCCGCUUCUCCCUUCAGCACUGGGGUGGAAGUCACGUGAGUAAAUUUUUCUGGGUGGAGGUCACAGAAGUCAAAUCUUCCCUGUCAGCGGUCACUUUGACAUUUUAACACGUUCAUCUUAAGUCUAACCUCCGUACCUCUGCCUCUUCUGGGGUGACACGGUGACCGGCAGAAAGUCCGAAUCCCCUUGGUCCACCCGAAGCACACGUCAGCUGUCUCUGUCCAUCUGUUCUGUUAACGCCACGAGUUAGGCAGCCUUGUUGUAGGCGUGCACACAACUGCUGCUUUUGUUCACCUGAAUGUUUACGUCCUAACGCAGUCACAACCGCCACUAUUUCUUGGCCUGUUCUUAUGUGAAUGAAACAAGUCCCUCUUUCCCGCAUCUCUAGUCUUCCCUCCGCGGUCACCGUCCUCCCGAAGGGCCAGGCCUGUGGGUCAUGGCUGUGAGUCUGAAAAUGCUUGCAUUUCGGUCCUUGGAAGAUGCUCGUCAGACAGAAGCCGGGCUGACAGCUACUCCGCCGCGCCACGACCUCUGGCUUCCGGGGGGGCUGCUGAGAUGCCCCACGCUCGUGCUUGCUCCUUGGGAGCAUUCCCUUUCUGACUACUUCGGAGUUUUGCUUUAGGUCUUGAUGUCAUGCGGUUUUAGAUACGUAUAAAGUGCAUUUCUUUUUGCUUAUCUUGUUUGGGAAUUCUUGGGAUUCCUGAAUGUGGGGCUUGGUUUCUUUUAUUAAUUCCGAGAAAUUCUCAGUGCUUAUCUCUGACAAUCUUCCCUCAUUCCGUGUGGGGACCUCUUCUUGGGGCUUCGAUGGGAUGAAUGCAGACUCUGCCUUGGAGGGCAGGCUGGGCGGAGGUCAGCAGGCGGCUAAUGGCUCCGCAGGACAGGGGGCCGACAGAGUGCCCCUGGGGUGGGGGCAGGGAGACAGGGACGACCUAAGGCGAGCUGGCCUCCUGCUUUUCCCACUGGGGACUUCAGGGGUCCGGUGCGUGGGUCCCUCUCCAUGUAUCCGAGCUACAGGGUCCUGAGGAAGGAGCAGGGCCGAGGUGAGGCCCAGCAGCAGGCGGCCUGGGGGGCGCAGGCUAUGCUCCCCACCGUUGCCACUGUGAGGUGCCAGGAGCAGCCUCUGCGCCAUCCCCACGGGGCUCCAGAGGUGACUGGCGGUCAUCAGGGCAGUUCCUGCACCCCCAGGGACAUGUGAGUGGACAACUAGGACCUGAGGUGCCUCUUCUCACUGAUGUCUUCUACUUCUGUUGUGACUCCCGUGGUACUGUCUCCUGCUACGGACUCUGAAGAGCACGCUUCCUGGAGCUCCGGGUCCCUGGGCGUCGCCGCCAGGAGCCAGUGGCUCUUCAGCUCGGGUGAUGUCCCUUAAAUGAGGGCGCGCUAUGGAGGAGUGAUCUGGACCCUCUGAAGACCAGCAAAGAAGAAUCGCACAUGGGGGCGGUCUGAGACCGACGCGUCCCUGCCGUGUGGUCACGUGGAGUAAGAGAAGAGACACAGCCACUGGGCGGGCAGAGGACGGGGAGGUUCCCACAUCCGAGUCCCUCUUGCGUCCCCCACAUCCGAAGCCACGCAGACCUGGGCCGGCUGUGCGGAGGUCAGCGCAGCAGCCCCUGGCUCUGGAGUCCGGCCAGGCCUGGGCCCACCCUCCCCACACCUGGUGUCCUGGUGCCUCUCCUGGUAGGUCCAGGAGGAUUCGGGCUGAACAGGUGAGCGGCAGGCAGGACCCUGCAGGGAGCCGCAAGUCUCCGGGUAGGGUGACCGGAACGCGCUCGUCAACACCAGGCCCAGAGAAACACGUACGGUCUAGUUCUGUAGAAAGUCACACUCAGCGCUAACGAACGUGUUUUCUCACAGUCUGCAGCUCGGGUCACAGGCCGCUGGAGAGUCCUGUGCUGUGUGUCAGCCACCGUGGCUCAAGCGCUUAAACAGCAUUCAGUGUAUUACAGAUAAAACAGGGCUUCCCACUAUUACCCUAUCUGCGUUCUGCGACAAAGCCUUUAAAAUCCCUACUGAGUAACACUGAACUCAAGUAAAAGCUGCCUUCCCGGCCGCCUUCACCGACGUCACCAGACCGUGGCUUUAUUUUUGUUUGGGACGUCAGUAAGAUUGUCCAGUCUUCAACGUCUCGAGCCUGCAAGCCACACGCUUCUCAGGGCUCUUGUGACUGAGUCCCAGCAGCUGCCUGGCCCUGGGGGCCAGUCACACAGCAGAAGGUCGCACAGAGAGCCGUUUCCUGACAGUCGACUAUCUCGAGGCUCUACCACGUGUAAUGAGGCAAUUACGCAACAGGGAUUAUUAAUCAGUUUAACCAACCUGAGAAAAAACCCUGCAUAACAACCCGCUUUUAAGAGAUUCUGAGAAAAUCACAAGAAUGACACAACAGCCAAGUAAUAUAGAAACCAGUCAGCCAGACCGAAGGCCUCAGCCUCCGGCAGGUGCGCAUGCCCACGGCCCUGGGAACUGCAGGCCAGAGACGCCUCCCUGUCAGCUCAGAGGCCGCAUGAAACCCCAGGCCAUCGUCGUUGGGUCUGUGGCUCCCGCCUCAACCUCAGAGCUGUUCUCUGGGGUCAACUGCCCUUUACCAAGGGCCACACCCCUGUUUUCUGAGUUCCUGAGCUUUCAAAAAGACGACGAGCCAGGUUUUCCAGUCCACACUUAUGCACGUGCCUGCACGUCCAGCGGCACAAGACCAUCGGGCCCCGUGUCAGACGAGGCCUGUGCCACCCCAGGGAUUAGGCCUGUGACCCACUUGGUUUCUGCUCUGAUUUCCCAGCACCCCCACUCAGGGCCGUCUGUGAGGAGCCGUGGAGCCCAUCAGAGCACCCGACCCACCCCCACGGGCGCUUCCACUCUGCACGGCAUUCCUGUGCUGGGACGGGCCACCCCUUCUCCCAGGCUCUAACAUCUGCACCCCCUCAUGGGUGCAGUGGGUGGUCGCCCAGGUGACGAGGGACGGGGCAUCACCCACCUGGAGCUCCGGGGCCUGCCCCUGCCUGCUGUGGGGGGUCUUAUGGACCAACCCCCACUGCUCCCUCCUUCUCUCGGGCAAUGCUGUCAGCCUUCCUACGCUAUGAGACUUCAAACAGGUUUUAAAGCUGCUGAGGGUUCUUUUGAGAAGGCUGAGUGGGUUCACACCUUCCCCACCUCCCCCACUCCUGGGGUCUCUAAGAAACACAGAAGGCAGAGCACCCCUGGUAACAUGGAAUGGGACGUGGGGGUCACUAGCAGAGGCCAGGCUUUGACACGUGUCCUCAGGGGGGAUGUCGAGGUGGCUGUGGGCUCGGCUGGGCGGGCAGGGGACGCGAGUGAGCAGGUGGGCAGAAGGCGUGUCACCGCACCAACCGGCUGAACUCAGACAGCUGUGCCCCUGCCCGGCUUCUACCCAGCAAGGAGUUAGGGCCCUCGCAGCAUGUUCUGGGCAGCAGGAGGACAGCUUCAGGAGUGGGGGUGGCCACGGGCAGACAUGGGGACUAGAGAUUUAGCAUUAAGGUAGUCCCCCCUGGGACCACUGAACGUGGACUCGGGGUUGUUCCGGGGGCAGGGAGAGCCUCCCGCUUAGCCGACUCUGCCCCUGCGGGAUUCUUCCAGAGGAGCAGCCUUGGCCAUACCCCUGCUCUCUCUGAGGGGCUCCCCGCGACGGCAGCAAGCUCUUACUGAGACUCGCUUCGCUCUGGAAAGCCUUUGCCUGCUCGCCUGCUCACCUAGUCAGCACGCAGGGGUUCGCAGAAGACUCGAGCACCCGUCAGCCUGGCGGCCCUCCCAGAUGCGCGUCUCGGGUCACGGAGAAUGCAGGCGGGAAACGCUUUCUCGGGAGAGGCCGUGAAGCUCGGCAAGUCUCCGGGUAGAGAAAACAGGCUUCUCCCGGCGGACUCCAGGCGCGCCGCGGCUGCUAGAAGCAGCACCGGGUGACCGCUGGCUCGGCCCCCUUGCCCUGACCUGGUCCCUCCCCUCCUCUCUCCCUCCCUUCGAGACCAGCUCCUGCAGGCCUCUGGCCCCUGGCGCACGUCGAGAUCCCUGUGGAGGGCUGGCCCUGGAUCGCGCCUGCUGCCCUGUAGUUGCCACACACUGUCCCCUCAGUUCCUGGGCCCCUGCACGGUGCAUUUUCAGGUGUCCCCAUCCUCAACUCUGACACGGUACUCAAACGGUGACGCGCUCGGGGAUGGCUGAGUAGCCCAAUGGUGGAGCGCGCGGCUUCAACACCGCAGGGAAAACCAAGGUCCCUCCCGUUGGCUUCUGACCUCGGGUGGGGAGGCCUGGGGGCGCCACGAGUGUUGCGCGGCUCCGGAAAGUGCAGCCUUACCGGACGUUCAAACAUGCUCUCCGGCAUCUCUUAGAGCACCUGUCUGAGAGCAUGUCGCCUGACUUGCCAGGCGGGCGGAGGGCACCCCGCGGUCCCUGCCCACUGGGGCGAGUGCCCGGCAAAGCAGCCCUGCGGCCGCCGCCUGAGGCCCUGUGCACGGAGGGAAGCCCCAGAGCGCAGCGGCAGUGAGAGCAAUUUGACGUCAGGCCAAGUCCUCCACACGCGCAGAAUUAGUGCUAAGAGGUUAAAGGUUACUCAAGGUCAUAUGGAAACGACACAGGUCAGGAACACCGAGAGAGCGGUAUUAAUAUUAUUGUGUAAUAUUAAUAUUAGUAGCGAGUAACAGCAGCAUGCAGGGGGAGGGGCAACGAGAAGAGAAGGUGGGGGGCAGAGUGGAGACUCACAUCUGGGUGGGGGAUGGCGUACUGUCCCUGGAUCGUGUAGGCCUAGAAACAGAGAGACACCGUCAGCUCGGGAAGCGGCCAGCCAUGCUGUGCCCACCGGUGGCCCUCCCCCGGGGACGAGGGCUUUCUCGGGACUGUGACUUCCUAGGAACAGGCCCAAGGCCCCAUGGUCAGCGCGCCCCGCCUUCCCCAGCAGCCUAGGGCACUGGGAGGUGCAGAGAGGGGGAUCUUGGCGCUGAGCCUCACUGGCGCCCACAGGGGUGGCCGGGGCCACCCCCAGACGCAGGAGCCCGGGGAGCCACAGCCCAGGCACGGACAGCCACAGGCCGGGCAGUCAGCGGGGAGAGCGAGAAGGCCCCCGCUCCCCGGGGUUCUUCAAAGAAAACCCCAGUAAAGGAUGGAAUCCUGUUAGAGACGAAUUGUUAAGCUUUUGAAACUUCCAUCAGCUUUCAGAGUAAACACUUUUACAAAGUAUUUAUCCCAAGAAAAGCGAACCAAACAACCUUUCUGAAGGCAGAUUAAGAAAUGCACCAAAUCAGUCACAAGAGGGACUGACCGGUCUUGUGACCUCAGAGGGCCGCACAGCCAUUCUCACAGGGGGCUGCACGUGCUCGGCCCCACUCCCUGGGGGCCAGCGUGGGUCCCUGAGGCUUCAGCUUCAAGAGAGAUUCCGACCAGCCACGGCACGAGUGUGGACCCGUGCCCCCACCCCGCUCCUGCUUCAACAGUCCACCGGCUAGGGUGUUCCCAGAAACGUCAUGGCCAAAGACAAACGAACCACAAAGUGUCAAGGGAGAGCAAAGACCGAGGACUUGUCAGGCCUCACGUGCUGCGGCGUGGAACUUGCCACGCCCGCCCUGGGCCGCGGCAUUGGAGGCCCCCGGCGGGAAGGCCCAGGUGCGGAGGGAUGUGGCUUCCUGCCCCUGGCCAUGUGGGUCCUCGUGCACAUGCUGAGUGGACCCGUGAUGCCCACCUGUGUCCGCACGUGUGCACCCACAGAGGGAGACCCCAGGUCAGUCCGAGUGCCACUCCCACGGACUCCACACUGAGGGGCGGCCUCCGAGUUUCCGUCCAACCACGGCUUUUGAAUCUGCCCAGAGUUUUGGUCAUAAACAACCCAACCUGGGAGUUGAAGGUCAGCCAAGCCCUGGAGAGCGACCACGGGAGGCAAAGCCCCAGUCUGGGUCGGGGUCCGCCAACGGCGUUCCAGGAGAAGUAAAGGGAUCUUAUCAGAUGCAGCAGGAGGCUAAGGGGACCGUCCCUCCCCCUGGACUUCUGUCCACGGAGCAGCCAGACCUCGCAGUCAAGGUCUGUAGAGAUGCCACGGGGCAGGUGCCCAGUGGGUCACCAUGUGUACCAGGCCCCGGGACACAGGCUGCGCCCACUGGGCCAGGCAGGUCUAUGGAGGUUGAGGCCAGCUCCCCGCGUGGGCCCACACGCCCGAGUGAACCCCACACGCUACCCAGCAGUGCGGCUCCUCCUCCUAGGCAUUUCGGACUUCUCUCUUCCUCCGAGGGAAUUCUUAAUUCUCCCUGAAGCGCAUGGGCAGUUUGCCAGGCCCUCCGGACAGCGGUGACAUCCGGACAGAACAGCCGGACGGACAGAGUUCCGUCUGGAGGAGACCGUCACCCUCUGUGAGUGGCCUGAGGUGCACGGCUGGUGCUCCCUGGCGGGCCCACAGCGAGGAGCGUCUCCGGAGGUCAGUUGGGGAGGGGGCGCUGGCCAUGACCCUUAGGCCUGGGCUCUGCGGCAGGUGGGGGUCUGGGCUCCGAGGGCCCCGUGGCCGCACUCCAUCUGUCACAGCCCAUUGCUGAGCAUGUGGGGUGGCUCCUCUGUCCCACAUAAGCAGGAAGAGCCAGGGGGGAGGCCAGACCAUCCCCGGGACACGCGUGCAGGGCCUACAACAAGGAUGACACGGAGGGCCGGGGCUCUGCUGGGCUUGACCCGUGGGGCGUCCCGGGCUCCCGUGUAUCCCUGUGCCUCCCUUUGGAAUAAAGACCUGUGCUCCACCACACGGUGUCACCACGGGUUUGUGCACGUGUCAGGGAAAGGACACAGGGCUCUGAACAAGGGCCCCUGACUGCCUCUGGCCUGGCCUUCCGACCUGUGAAAUGGGGGUGCGCACACAUCUUGGGGCUGCCGUAGGAGGGCACAGGGACAUGAAGGGUCCAGACAAAGGGCAGGGCUGCUGGGAGACUGCAGGGCUGAGGAGGGCUG